AUUGAACGCUGGCGGCAUGCUUUACACAUGCAAGUCGAACGGGGUGAGGAGCUUGCUCCUCAUCUAGUGGCGAACGGGUGAGUAAUACAUCGGAACGUACCGUGUAGUGGGGGAUAACUUACCGAAAGGUAGGCUAAUACCGCAUACGAUCCACGGAUGAAAGCAGGGGACCUUCGGGCCUUGUGCUAUACGAGCGGCCGAUGUCUGAUUAGCUAGUUGGUGAGGUAAAGGCUCACCAAGGCAACGAUCAGUAGCGGGUCUGAGAGGAUGAUCCGCCACACUGGGACUGAGACACGGCCCAGACUCCUACGGGAGGCAGCAGUGGGGAAUUUUGGACAAUGGGCGCAAGCCUGAUCCAGCCGUGCCGCGUGUCUGAAGAAGGCCUUCGGGUUGUAAAGGACUUUUGUCAGGGAGUAAAUCCUG
RNAcentral lists this ribosomal RNA (423 nucleotides) under uncultured bacterium. RNAcentral's name for it is "bacterial SSU rRNA". It matches the Rfam family "Bacterial small subunit ribosomal RNA", at positions 30 to 455 of the family's 1533-position model. The record is from RNAcentral.